Non-coding RNA from Podarcis lilfordi (Lilford's wall lizard), 72 nucleotides. The record is from the annotation of a GenBank genome assembly. NCBI's taxonomy places the organism in Eukaryota, Metazoa, Chordata, Lepidosauria, Squamata, Lacertidae.
GAUAGCAUAGCUCAGUGGCAGAGCAUCUGCUUGGCAUGCAGGAGGUUCUGAGUUCAAACCCUGGCAGCAUCU